GAUGAACGCUGGCGGCGUGCCUAAUACAUGCAAGUCGAGCGAACGGACGAGAAGCUUGCUUCUCUGAUGUUAGCGGCGGACGGGUGAGUAACACGUGGAUAACCUACCUAUAAGACUGGGAUAACUUCGGGAAACCGUAGCUAAUACCGGAUAAUAUUUUGAACCGCAUGGUUCAAAAGUGAAAGACGGUCUUGCGGUCACUUAUAGAUGGAUCCGCGCUGCAUUAGCUAGUUGGUAAGGUAACGGCUUACCAAGGCAACGAUGCAUAGCCGACCUGAGAGGGUGAUCGGCCACACUGGAACUGAGCCACGGUCCAGACUCCUACGGGGGGCAGCAGUAGGGAAUCUUCCGCAAUGGGCGAAAGCCUGACGGAGCAACGCCGCGUGAGUGAUGAAGGUCUUCGGAUCGUAAAACUCUGUUAUUAGGGAAGAACAUAUGUGUAAGUAACUGUGCACAUCUUGACGGUACCUAAUCAGAAAGCCACGGCUAACUACGUG
This 497-nucleotide ribosomal RNA is filed under the name uncultured bacterium. RNAcentral describes it as "partial 16S ribosomal RNA". It matches the Rfam family "Bacterial small subunit ribosomal RNA", at positions 28 to 507 of the family's 1533-position model. The record is from RNAcentral.